GGAGGAAUACCCAAGUUGGUGAAGGGGUCUGACUUGAAAUCAGAUAGGUCAGUAAUGGCGCGUGGGUUCGAGCCCUACUUCCUCCG
RNAcentral lists this transfer RNA (86 nucleotides) under Caudoviricetes sp. Its description in RNAcentral is "tRNA-Ser". It matches the Rfam family "tRNA". Rfam says of the family: Transfer RNA (tRNA) molecules are approximately 80 nucleotides in length. Their secondary structure includes four short double-helical elements and three loops (D, anti-codon, and T loops). Further hydrogen bonds mediate the characteristic L-shaped molecular structure. tRNAs have two regions of fundamental functional importance: the anti-codon, which is responsible for specific mRNA codon recognition, and the 3' end, to which the tRNAs corresponding amino acid is attached (by aminoacyl-tRNA synthetases). tRNAs cope with the degeneracy of the genetic code in two manners: having more than one tRNA (with a specific anti-codon) for a particular amino acid; and 'wobble' base-pairing, i.e. permitting non-standard base-pairing at the 3rd anti-codon position. The record is from RNAcentral. Lineage: Duplodnaviria; Heunggongvirae; Uroviricota; Caudoviricetes.